GACCGGUCCAAAGGUCGUCCUCCAGGCUUCAGUGAUGAACCUGAACCCUCAGACACAAAAGUUCAGACCAACAGACGGAGAGCAGAGUCUCCAGGAUCCAGCUGUCUGUCUAUGAAGAGUAACGAGUCCAAAGGUCUUCCUCUACUCUUCAGUGAUGAACCUGAACCCUCAGACACAAAAUCCAGAACAAGACGUGGACUGCAGACAGCCAGUCAGACCAGCACUGUCCAAAUGAGUGGUGGUCUGCAGGAGGUUUUAGAUGAACAUA
This is a long non-coding RNA of Larimichthys crocea (large yellow croaker), 268 nucleotides long. RefSeq lists it as uncharacterized. The record is from RefSeq and is a predicted model, not a curated record. The transcript has 4 exons. NCBI's taxonomy places the organism in Eukaryota, Metazoa, Chordata, Actinopteri, Sciaenidae.